Molecule: ribosomal RNA, 468 nt
Filed under: uncultured bacterium
Lineage: Bacteria
Description: partial 16S ribosomal RNA
Rfam family: Bacterial small subunit ribosomal RNA
Source: RNAcentral
GACGAACGCUGGCGGCGUGCUUAACACAUGCCAGUCGAACGGAAAGGCCCUGCUUUUGUGGGGUGCUCGAGUGGCGAACGGGUGAGUAACACGUGAGUAACCUGCCCUUGACUUUGGGAUAACUUCAGGAAACUGGGGCUAAUACCGGAUAGGAGCUCCUGCUGCAUGGUGGGGGUUGGAAAGUUUCGGCGGUUGGGGAUGGACUCGCGGCUUAUCAGCUUGUUGGUGGGGUAGUGGCUUACCAAGGCUUUGACGGGUAGCCGGCCUGAGAGGGUGACCGGCCACAUUGGGACUGAGAUACGGCCCAGACUCCUACGGGAGGCAGCGGUGGGGAAUAUUGCACAAUGGGCGGAAGCCUGAUGCGGCAACGCCGCGUGCGGGAUGACGGCCUUCGGGUUGUAAACCGCUUUCGCCUGUGACGAAGCGUGAGUGACGGUAAUGGGUAAAGAAGCACCGGCUAACUACGUG